AGUGAACGCUGGCGGUAGGCCUAACACAUGCAAGUCGAACGGCAGCACAGUAAGAGCUUGCUCUUACGGGUGGCGAGUGGCGGACGGGUGAGGAAUACAGCGGAAUCUACUUUUUCGUGGGGGAUAACGUAGGGAAACUUACGCUAAUACCGCAUACGACCUACGGGUGAAAGCAGGGGAUCUUCGGACCUUGCGCGAUUGAAUGAGCCGAUGUCGGAUUAGCUAGUUGGCGGGGUAAAGGCCCACGAAGGCGACGAUCCGUAGCUGGUCUGAGAGGAUGGUCAGCCACACUGGAACUGAGACACGGUCCAGACUCCUGCGGGAGGCAGCAGUGGGGAAUAUUGGACAAUGGGGGCGAGCCUGAUCCAGCCAUACCGCGUAGGUGAAGAAGGCCUUCGGGUUGUAAAGCCCUUUUGUUGGGAGAGAAAAGCAGCAGGUUAAUACCCCGCUGUUCUGACGGUACCCAAAGAAUAAGCACCGGCUAACUUCGUG
RNAcentral lists this ribosomal RNA (492 nucleotides) under uncultured bacterium. RNAcentral describes it as "partial 16S ribosomal RNA". It matches the Rfam family "Bacterial small subunit ribosomal RNA", at positions 29 to 507 of the family's 1533-position model. The record is from RNAcentral.